This 498-nucleotide ribosomal RNA is filed under the name uncultured bacterium. RNAcentral's name for it is "bacterial SSU rRNA". It matches the Rfam family "Bacterial small subunit ribosomal RNA", at positions 9 to 507 of the family's 1533-position model. The record is from RNAcentral.
CGAGUUUGAUCAUGGCUCAGGAUGAACGCUAGCGGCAGGCUUAACACAUGCAAGUCGAGGGGUAUAGUUCUUCGGAACUAGAGACCGGCGCACGGGUGCGUAACGCGUAUGCAAUCUACCUUUCACAAAGGGAUAGCCCAGAGAAAUUUGGAUUAAUACCUUAUAGUAAUACGACUUGGCAUCAAGAUGUAUUUAAAGAUUUAUCGGUGAAAGAUGAGCAUGCGUCCCAUUAGCUUGUUGGUAAGGUAACGGCUUACCAAGGCAACGAUGGGUAGGGGUCCUGAGAGGGAGAUCCCCCACACUGGUACUGAGACACGGACCAGACUCCUACGGGAGGCAGCAGUGAGGAAUAUUGGACAAUGGGCGCAAGCCUGAUCCAGCCAUGCCGCGUGCAGGAUGACGGUCCUAUGGAUUGUAAACUGCUUUUGUACAGGAAGAAACCCUUUCACGUGUGGAAGAUUGACGGUACUGUAAGAAUAAGGAUCGGCUAACUCCGUG